Molecule: transfer RNA, 73 nt
Filed under: Ursus americanus (American black bear)
Lineage: Eukaryota; Metazoa; Chordata; Mammalia; Carnivora; Ursidae
Also listed under: 1 other name
Rfam family: tRNA
About the family: Transfer RNA (tRNA) molecules are approximately 80 nucleotides in length. Their secondary structure includes four short double-helical elements and three loops (D, anti-codon, and T loops).
Source: Rfam by way of RNAcentral
GCCUAGCUGGCUUAUUCGGUGGAGCAUACGACUCUUGAUCUCUGGGUUGUGAGUUCAAGCCCCAUGUUAGGUG